GACGAACGCUGGCGGCGGGCCUAACACAUGCAAGUCGAACGGUAGCACAGAGAGCUUGCUCUCGGGUGACGAGCGGCGGACGGGUGAGUAACGUCUGGGAAACUGCCCGAUGGAGGGGGAUAACUACUGGAAACGGUAGCUAAUACCGCAUAACGUCGCAAGACCAAAGUGGGGGACCUUCGGGCCUCACACCAUCGGAUGUGCCCAGAUGGGAUUAGCUAGUAGGUGGGGUAAUGGCUCACCUAGGCGACGAUCCCUAGCUGGUCUGAGAGGAUGACCAGCCACACUGGAACUGAGACACGGUCCAGAGUCCUACGGGAGGCAGCAGUGGGGAAUAUUGCACAAUGGGCGAAAGCCUGAUGCAGCCAUGCCGCGUGUAUGAAGAAGGCCUUCGGGUUGUAAAGUACUUUCAGCGGGGAGGAAGGCGGUGAAGUUAAUAGCUUCACCGAUUGACGUUACCCGCAGAAGAAGCACCGGCUAACUCCGUGCCAGCAGCCGCGGUAA
RNAcentral lists this ribosomal RNA (504 nucleotides) under uncultured bacterium. RNAcentral describes it as "partial 16S ribosomal RNA". It matches the Rfam family "Bacterial small subunit ribosomal RNA", at positions 28 to 523 of the family's 1533-position model. The record is from RNAcentral.